RNAcentral lists this long non-coding RNA (5611 nucleotides) under Daucus carota (carrot). RNAcentral's name for it is "long non-coding RNA (DCAR_LNC006424)". The record is from RNAcentral. Lineage: Eukaryota; Viridiplantae; Streptophyta; Magnoliopsida; Apiales; Apiaceae.
UUAUAUGCCCAGACCGUUAACCAACCUGAAAACUCCUGCAACAAAAUUGAAGACGUUGAUACCAUUGAGGAUGCUGAAGACACCUGCAGUUAAGUUUGCGACUAGAUUUCCAGGGACGGGUAGGUUGGCAUUGCACUGAGCCAACAAUGUGGUAACAAUCACUCGGCAACCCCCGAGUUGAAGAAAGUCUUGUAUAGUUAAUUGAGUGAAUUGGUCAACAGGACCCAAAGUGAUGUUAAAUCUCCCGGAUUCGUCUGUUGUUGUUCUUGCAACAGUGAAAUUUCGGCACCGCAGUUCCACUGCCGCUUCUGCAUAAGUACAUAAUAUCUGUUAACAGCAUGAUGACAACUACACAAUAUAUAUAUACUCACAUGAUGCAAUAUAUAUAUGCACGCCACAUUGAAUAUAAUCAAUAAGAUUGCAUUGUAAAUAUUUACUCACGAGGAAAAGGCGAGGCAACGCCUCCCGGGAACGUCUGAUUGAUCUGACAUAACACCGUCCCGCCGAUGUUAAACACGUUAUUAGCAAUAGGGUUCACGAGUUGAGCUUCAACACCCGAGGGAGCUGCCAUGAAUGCGGAAAUGGCAACCAAUAGGACAAGUAAGAGGGCGCUGUUAAGGGAGGCCAUUGAGGUUUGAAGUUUAGGAGAUCUGGUUGAUGAUAGAUCGAGGAUGUUGUUUUGAUGAGAUUCAGUGAGUUGUGCGCGAGCUUAUUUAUAGUACUUGGUCGGGGCAUGCUCCGAGGCCAGGUGAUAAUGGUAAUGUUUGUCUUUUAAUAGUGCUUCUACAAUCAAUAUACUUAUAUAAAGGAGAAGCGAGGGGCGUGUAGGUGGCGCCUCUCACAUCGCUGUCAUAAGUAUAGUGACAAAUUUAGUUAUCUAUACGUGAGUUGUUUAAUCCCUCUAUUAACUUAUUUUAUUAAAGAAAUUUAUUAAAUUUCUGUUCAAAAAUAAUAAAAUUCAAAUAUAUUAAUCUUAACAUUUUGGUCAGGUCAAGAACUUUAACGAAAAUUUCAUUGAUUAGAAGUGACUCACUAAAUAUGUAUAUAUAGCUUCUGUUAAUUAUUUAGUACUCCUACCUAGCUACCUGGAAUCAUCGCUGACAUAUAUACUUAGCUAGGGCUUACUGUCAAAUAUAAAUCCAACGUUUUUGGCCAAAUAUGUUUUGUGGUGAAAUGUCUGUAUAGGUUAGGCCCACUUUGAUCUUCUUUGAUCAUUCACGAAUAUUCUUCAGGACAACCCCAAGUUGCCAACUUUGUAUCCAAUGAUAUAUAACGCAGCGGGUAGAUGAAUUCAGGCAACUUGAUAUAUCAUACAGUAGUGCUGGCCCUUUAUAUGCUAUAUAUUGCUGCCACCAGGAGUUACACUAUAUAUAUAGUUCCCCACCCACAAGCACCAUGCAAGUUGUACGGAAAUCUUGUAGGAUAUCAGCACAGACAUGUUAACUGGAACUCAGGUUUAUUUUCAUACACUUUCUGAUAACCAUAUAAUUAAAAACAAACAACGUUUAAAGAAAAACCACUCCUUAAAAUAUGCAAAUAGUUUCCUGCAUAAACUCCAUCACAUAAACAUUUCCCUAGAAAUCCUCCACUACUCUACUACUCUUUCCAGACUACAAUAAGUCAUACUCUUAACAAAAGCAUUCAAAAACUAAAUGAAACGAAUACUUAAAUUUAAGUUUAAGAUUAAAUUCCAACAAAUCUCCUUAUCAGAAUCUCAGUACACAAUCUCAUCACGUAAUUUAUAUAGUUUAUUAUCAUGAUAUCUGGUUUCUUAUCACUUUUUCAAGAUUCAAGUUCAAUAUUUGUUUAUGUUUCUGAAUCAGUGAACAAUGAGCUGUACCCGUACUACAACACAUCCUGAUUUUUUUUUUUGACGGAUUUUAAGCCUAGAAUCCAUUAAUACACUGGAAAAAAAACUUUUUUCAUAAUAUUGAAGAAUAUAAGAUAAUUCCAUAAUAUAACUGGGUACCUCUAAAUCUUGUAGAAUAUAAAGUAACCAUUCCAUAAUAUUGGUCCUCAAUCACCGAAAACCCUAAUGUUGCGUUUGGUUACGGAGAAUGAAAUGAGUAAAAUUACUCGAACCUAAUAGAGAUACGAGGGAAGUUUUGAAAUAAAUUUGAAUGAGUGCAAAAUUGUAUGAUGAGAUUUGAGAAGAAAUUGGAGGUAGGAGAGAAUGGAGCAUUCCAUCUCAAAUUAAAAGUAUGAUCUCUGGUACAUAAUGUAAGGAACGGAAUGGAUGAAGGAAUGAAAUUUGUUAAUAAUUGCUCAAAAUAUAGUUCAUUUUUCAUCCAUUCCUUCCGGAUCAUUCACCCCAACCAAACACAACAUAACAAACUUAACAAAUAAUUGAUGUAGUUGGACAUUGCUAUCAUUUGCACCGACUCAUCAUCAUUGUCUUGCAACGAAUUGAAUUUGUUAUGAACCUCAUUCUUUGUUUAGGCUUUCUCUCUUCAAGAUAUUCAGGCAACUUGAUAUAUCAUAUAGUAGUGCUCGCCCAUUAUAUGCUAUAUAUUGUUGCCACCAGGAGUUACACUAUAUAUAUAGUUCUCCACCCACAAGCACCAUGCAAGUGGUACGGAAAUCUUGUAGGAUAUCAGCACAGACAUGUUAACUGGAACUCAAGUUUAUUUUCAUACACUUUCUGAUAACCAUAUAAUUAAUAACAUACAACGGUUAAAUAAAAACCACUCCUAAAAAUAAGCAACUAGUUUCCUGCAUAAACUCCAUCACAUAAACAUUUGCCUAGAAUUAGUCCUCAACUACUCUACUACUGUUUCCCCACUACAAUACUAGACUAAGUAACAAAAGCAUUCGAAAACUAAAUAAAACGAAUACUUAAAUUUAAGUUUAAAAUUAAAUACCAACAAAUCUCCUUAUCAGAAUCUCAGUACACAAUUUCAUCAUGUAAUUCAUAUAGUUUAUGAUCAUGAUAUUUGGUUUCUUAUCACUCUUUCAAGAUUCAUGUUCAAAAUUUGUUUAUGUAGUUUAUAUUUAUGAAUCAGUGAACAAUGACCAGUACCCAUCCUACAACAAAUCCUAUUUUUUUGACGGAUUUCGAAUCCAUCAAUACACUGAAAAAAACUCAUUCUAUAAUAUCAAAGAAUAAAAGAUAACCAUUCCAUAAUAUUGGUCAUCAAUCACCGAAAAUCCUAACAAACUUAACAAAUAAUUGAUAGUAGUUGGACAUUGCUAUGAUUUGCGCUGACUCAUCAUUAUUGUCAUGCAACGAUAAUUGAAUUUGUUAUGCACCUAAUUUUUUGCUUAGGCUUUCUCUCUUCAAGAUAUUAUUUAGGAGAGAAACUGAAAGAUAAAGACAGAUUUGUAACUCAUGUUAUUGUGGAGGCGGAAGCAAAGUGUGGGAUUAGGAUUUUGAGUUGUGUAAAAUAUUUUAUUGCAAAGUUGCGUAUCUGGAGUUUACAUGUACAAAUCAGUUUAAAAAUUACAAAUACAUCAACUUUUAGUAUGAGUCGUCCAAUUAAGUUAUCAUCCAAUGGUGUUGAAUAUGAUAUUUAGAGACUCCAAAAUUUUUGAUCUCCAAAGAGCUGAACUACCCACACACAUAUAGAGAUUUACUCCACUUAAAACUCACUUGAAAUUAAAAACCAUAAACAAUUGACUGAGAUACUAAUAUUUAAUAGUAAUUCAGUUUUGUCCAAACCCCGCUCGUACCCCCACCCCUGUUCGCCCCUAACCCAUCCUAGCCCCGGCCCCACUCUUCUUUCGAUCACUGUCAUCAUCUCCGAUUACCAUCGUUAAUUCCGACCUAGAAAUCAAUGAUGGGAACAAUUGCAAUUAGUGAUUAUUCAGUUUCAUCUCAUCCUCUGCCCAACCCAGUCCCAGCCCAAGCAACAACCCCAACCAAGCCUAAAUCAAUUACAAAAUAAGCGGCACCCCAGUCCCAAGCAACAACCCCAUCCUAACUGAAAUCUAUUACAAAAUAAGUGGAUACAAGCCAGGAGUCUUGAGUCGAAGAGGAGCAAGUGUCGCAAGCUGUAAAUGAGGUGAAAGAGUUGUAGCCUGCUCUUGAUGAGAAUAAAUCUCCACUACUUGAACCUACCAUGACUCAGUUUAAGUGAAAGACUGAGCGGGGGUGUUUCAAAACAGGCGGGGACGAGGAUGGUGGUUGCAGGAGUAAUGCUACCUGCACAUAAACUCCUACAAAAUUCUUUCACAGAAUGACGUGGUAGAGCCACCUUUGCAUAAUAGUAAUGUGUCUUGCCGGCCACUAUUUUUGUGUACACGCUUUUCUUUUUCAUUUUUUUUUUCUUAAUAUUGAGAUUGAUGUUUUAGUUCACUUAAAAAAUGUUACAUUUAGUUUUUACUUUUCUUACACUUUUCAUUUUUUUUAAAUUUUUUUAUAUUUAAUAAUUAUAUAAUUUUUAUGUUAUUUACUUUUCACUUAUAUUAUUUAUUUUUUACAUUUAAUACUUGUUGAGUUUUAUAUCUAACUUUUUAUAUCAAAUUCACAAAAAAUAUAUAUUUUGUUUUUAUCGCCCACUAUGCUUGUACAUAUAUAUUUUAUUUUCAUUUUCUUGUUGGAAAAUUGAAAUUAAAUUUGAUAUUCAGUGUACACGUCAUUCUGUGAAAGAAUUCUGCAUGAGUUUAUGUGUACGUAGCAUUACUCUGGUUGCACUAGUUCCAGCAUGGGAUGGCGGGUGGUUGUGCUUGUGGCCGGGAUGGGGCCGGCGAUAGAGGUGGUUGCAGUUGGAGCGUGUGCGCCUGUGCGGGGUUGUUUUGUAUAUAUAUUAAAUAUAGAAUAUCAUGUUAAUUAAUAAAAAAAAACUCACACACUAUUAUAUUUAAGUAUUUUUAGUUUUUAGGAUAUAUUGAUUUGUAUUUGAUAAUCUUCCCAUAUAUAUAAAAUUUCUUUGUCAUUAUUCUAGUGAUUCUCUUGUAACAAACAAUUGUUCCAGCCUACCAGAUGUGUACAACAUUAGUAUGAGAAACGUUUCUUAUCAUUAAUUUGUUUUAAAUAAACAUUACAUUGCAUUUUUUUAACGUAAAUCAUCGGCUAUUUGUAAGUUGUUACAUAUAUAUAUGCAGCAGUAAAUUAAAGCAUUAAAAUAUCUUGUAUAUAAAUUAGAGGACCUCAAUUGUUACAGAAUAUCACACAUUUGAUUCUGUGUUGAUCCCUCCAUAAUACAAGCUUCGCAAGUAAAAUCAAACGCCAACAUAUAUAAAAAUUAAAAAGUAAAGUAACUUGUCUUAUGAUUGAUUGCUGCCUGCAUAUAUCCAUCAAUAUUACACUGAACUUUAUUUGGGGUACAUAUAUUUGUAACAUCGGCUGAGCGAUCGAUGCUUAUAUAGGAGGAUAUUAUAUGCCCAGACCGUUAACCAACCUGAAAACUCCUGCAACAAAAUUGAAGACGUUGAUACCAUUGAGGAUGCUGAAGACACCUGCAGUUAAGUUUGCGACUAGAUUUCCAGGGACGGGUAGGUUGGCAUUGCACUGAGCCAACAAUGUGGUAACAAUCACUCGGCAACCCCCGAGUUGAAGAAAGUCUUGUAUAGUUAAUUGAGUGAAUUGGUCAACAGGACCCAAAGUGAUGUUAAAUCUCCCGGAUUCGUCUGUUGUUGUUCUUGCAACAGUGAAAUUUCGGCACCGCAGUUC